This is a non-coding RNA of Ictidomys tridecemlineatus (thirteen-lined ground squirrel), 489 nucleotides long. The record is from RefSeq and is a predicted model, not a curated record. NCBI's taxonomy places the organism in Eukaryota, Metazoa, Chordata, Mammalia, Rodentia, Sciuridae.
CUCAGGAACAAGAACCUGAGCCGGCUAAGGGCGCCUAGCAGACUUCGCAGCCCUCUCCAGAGGACAGACAUCUUUCACGAAGGGGAAGGAGUGGCGCUCGGGGCUGUUGGACCUGACAGGAGGCACAGUAGGAGGCACAGCUCUCUUGAUUCAACCAUUCCCUGAGCCAGGCCUGUGGGAACCAGAGUCAACCCCAGAACGGGCAAGAAGGUGCACUGAAUCUGUAAGAGGAAAGAGGGUGGCAGGGUCCAGUAUGGAGGCAGAGAUGAAUUUGGGCUGAGGAGGCUGGGCUGGCUUCCUGGAGGAGAUGGCACCUGGGCCAAGCCAGUUUGAAAAUUCAGAAACAUCUAGCAAGGGCCAACAUGAGCCAGGCAUUGCUCUGAAGGCUGGACAUGGUAGUGAAGAAAGUUUCUUCCCUUGUGUGGCCAUAUUCUGGUUGGAGGAGAAAAACAAUAAACAAAUAGACAAGUCAAUGUAUAGCAUGUCAAG